This is a non-coding RNA of Ameiurus melas (black bullhead), 73 nucleotides long. The record is from the annotation of a GenBank genome assembly. NCBI's taxonomy places the organism in Eukaryota, Metazoa, Chordata, Actinopteri, Siluriformes, Ictaluridae.
GUGCCGGGCUCAGUCGGUAGAGCAUGAGUCUCUUAAUCUAAAGCUCGUCGGAUUGAGCCCCAUGCUGGGCACC